RNAcentral lists this transfer RNA (76 nucleotides) under Elusimicrobiota bacterium. Its description in RNAcentral is "tRNA-His". It matches the Rfam family "tRNA". Rfam says of the family: Transfer RNA (tRNA) molecules are approximately 80 nucleotides in length. Their secondary structure includes four short double-helical elements and three loops (D, anti-codon, and T loops). Further hydrogen bonds mediate the characteristic L-shaped molecular structure. tRNAs have two regions of fundamental functional importance: the anti-codon, which is responsible for specific mRNA codon recognition, and the 3' end, to which the tRNAs corresponding amino acid is attached (by aminoacyl-tRNA synthetases). tRNAs cope with the degeneracy of the genetic code in two manners: having more than one tRNA (with a specific anti-codon) for a particular amino acid; and 'wobble' base-pairing, i.e. permitting non-standard base-pairing at the 3rd anti-codon position. Lineage: Bacteria; Pseudomonadati; Elusimicrobiota. The record is from RNAcentral.
GUGGGUGUAGCUCAACGGUUAGAGCGCUUGGCUGUGGCCCAGGAGGCUGCCGGUUCAAGUCCGGUCACCCACCCCA